This 488-nucleotide ribosomal RNA is filed under the name uncultured bacterium. Its description in RNAcentral is "partial 16S ribosomal RNA". It matches the Rfam family "Bacterial small subunit ribosomal RNA", at positions 899 to 1397 of the family's 1533-position model. The record is from RNAcentral.
ACUCAAAGGAAUAGACGGGGACUCGCACAAGCGGUGGAGCAUGUGGUUCAAUUCGAUGGUAAGCGAAGAACCUUACCAGGGCUUGAAAUGGGCGUGACGGUGCCCGAAAGGGUUACCUUCUCACAAGGACACGCUCACAGGUGAUGCAUGGCUGUCGUCAGUUCGUGGCUUGAGUUGUUCCCUUAAGUGGGGUAACGAACGCAACCCUUAUCCCGCGUUAUACGUGUCGCGGGAGACUGCCCUGUUAAACGGGGAGGAAGGCGAGGAUGACGCCAAGUCCGCAUGUCCCUCUGAUGCCCUGGGCUACACACGUGCUACAAUGCUCGCUACAAUGGGCCGCGAUGCCGCGAGGCGGAGCAAAUCCCAUCAAAAGCGGGCUCAGUUCGGAUUGGAGUCUGCAACCUGACUCCAUGAAGUUGGAAUCGCUAGUAAUCGCAGGUCAGCACACUGCGGUGAAUACGUUCUCGAGUCUUGUACACACCGCCCGU